RNAcentral lists this ribosomal RNA (253 nucleotides) under uncultured bacterium. RNAcentral's name for it is "partial 16S ribosomal RNA". It matches the Rfam family "Bacterial small subunit ribosomal RNA", at positions 524 to 776 of the family's 1533-position model. The record is from RNAcentral.
UACGUAGGGGGCAAGCGUUGUCCGGAAUUAUUGGGCGUAAAGAGCGUGUAGGCGGCCAGAUAAGUCCGCUGUGAAAACUCGAGGCUCAACUUCGAGCUGUCGGUGGAAACUUUCUGGCUAGAGUCCGGAAGAGGAGAAUGGAAUUCCUGGUGUAGCGGUGAAAUGCGCAGAUAUCAGGAAGAACACCCGUGGCGAAGGCGGUUCUCUGGGACGGUACUGACGCUGAGACGCGAAAGCGUGGGGAGCGAACAGG